Molecule: ribosomal RNA, 440 nt
Filed under: uncultured bacterium
Lineage: Bacteria
Description: partial 16S ribosomal RNA
Rfam family: Bacterial small subunit ribosomal RNA
Source: RNAcentral
CCUACGGGGGGCAGCAGUGGGGGAUAUUGCACAAUGGGGGGAACCCUGAUGCAGCGACGCCGCGUGGGUGAAGAAGCGCCUCGGCGCGUAAAGCCCUGUCAGCAGGGAAGAAAAUGACGGUACCUGAAGAAGAAGCCCCGGCUAACUACGUGCCAACAGCCGCGGUAAUACGUAGGGGGCAAGCGUUAUCCGGAUUUACUGGGUGGAAAGGGGGCGCAGACGGCGAUGCAAGCCAGGAGUGAAAGCCCGGGGCCCAACCCCGGGACUGCUCUUGGAACUGCGUGGCUGGAGUGCAGGAGGGGCAGGCGGAAUUCCUGGUGUAGCGGUGAAAUGCGUAGAUAUCAGGAGGAACACCGGUGGCGAAGGCGGCCUGCUGGACUGCAACUGACGUUGAGGCCCGAAAGCGUGGGGAGCAAACAGGAUUAGAUACCCUAGUAGUC